CAACAGGGAUUGCCUCAGUAACGGCGAGUGAAGCGGCAACAGCUCAAAUUUGAAAUCUGGCCCCCCGGCCCGAGUUGUAAUUUGCAGAGGAUGCUUCGGGUGCGGUGCUUUCCAAGUCCCCUGGAACGGGGCGCCACAGAGGGUGAGAGCCCCGUCAGGAUAGCCGCCAAGCCUAUGUGAAGCUCCUUCGACGAGUCGAGUAGUUUGGGAAUGCUGCUCUAAAUGGGAGGUAGACCCCUUCUAAAGCUAAAUACCGGCCAGAGACCGAUAGCGCACAAGUAGAGUGAUCGAAAGAUGAAAAGCACUUUGAAAAGAGGGUUAAACAGUACGUGAAAUUGUUGAAAGGGAAGCGCUUGUGACCAGACGUGCGCCGGGCGCUCAGCGGGCGUUCUCGCCCGUGCAUUCGCCCCGGCGCAGGCCAGCGUCGGUUCGGGAGGGGGGACAAAGGCAUCAGGAACGUGGCUCCCUCGGGAGUGUUAUAGCCUGGCGCGCCAUGCCCCCGCCUGGACCGAGGUUCGCGCUCCGCAAGGACGCUGGCGUAAUGGUCCCCAGCGGCCCGUCUUGAAACACGGACCAAGGAGUCGAGGUUUUGCGCGAGUGUUUGGGUGUCAAACCCGCACGCGUAAUGAAAGUGAACGCAGGUGGGAGCUUCGGCGCACCACCGACCGAUCCUGAUGUUCUCGGAUGGAUUUGAGUAGGAGCGUAGGGCCUCGGACCCGAAAGAUGGUGAACUAUACUUGGAUAGGGUGAAGCCAGAGGAAACUCUGGUGGAGGCUCGCAGCGGUUCUGACGUGCAAAUCGAUCGUCAAAUCUGAGUAUGGGGGCGAAAGACUAAUCGAACCAUCUAGUAGCUGGUUACCGCCGAAGUUUCCCUCAGGAUAGCAGUGUUGAUCUCAGUUUUAUGAGGUAAAGCGAAUGAUUAGGGACUCGGGGGCGCUUUUCAGCCUUCAUCCAUUCUCAAACUUUAAAUAUGUAAGAAGCCCUUGUUGCUUAGUUGAACGUGGGCCUUCGAAUGCAGCAACACUAGUGGGCCAUUUUUGGUAAGCAGAACUGGCGAUGUGGGAUGAACCAUACGGGGGGUUAAGGUGCCGGAGUGGACGCUCAUCAGACACCACAAAAGGCGUUAGCACAUCUUGACAGCAGGACGGUGGCCAUGGAAGUCGGAAUCCGCUAAGGACUGUGUAACAACUCACCUGCCGAAUGUGCUAGCCCUGAAAAUGGAUGGCGCUCAAGCGUCCCACCCAUACCCCCCCCUCAGGGUAGAAACGAUGCCCUGAGGAGUAGGCGGCCGCAGCGC
Molecule: ribosomal RNA, 1297 nt
Filed under: Pseudolachnella complanata
Lineage: Eukaryota; Fungi; Ascomycota; Sordariomycetes; Chaetosphaeriales; Chaetosphaeriaceae
Description: eukaryotic LSU rRNA
Rfam family: Eukaryotic large subunit ribosomal RNA
Source: RNAcentral